RNAcentral lists this ribosomal RNA (250 nucleotides) under uncultured Syntrophobacter sp. RNAcentral describes it as "partial 16S ribosomal RNA". It matches the Rfam family "Bacterial small subunit ribosomal RNA", at positions 524 to 773 of the family's 1533-position model. The record is from RNAcentral. Lineage: Bacteria; Pseudomonadati; Thermodesulfobacteriota; Syntrophobacteria; Syntrophobacterales; Syntrophobacteraceae.
UACGGAGGGUGCGAGCGUUAUUCGGAAUUACUGGGCGUAAAGCGCGAGUAGGCGGUCUCAUAAGUCUGAUGUGAAAGCCCCGGGCUCAACCCGGGAAGGGCGUUGGAAACUGUGGGACUUGAGUGCCGGAGAGGAAGGGGGAAUUCCCGGUGUAGAGGUGAAAUUCGUAGAGAUCGGGAGGAAUACCAGUGGCGAAGGCGCCCUUCUGGACGGCAACUGACGCUGAGAAGCGAAAGCGUGGGGAGCAAAC